This 253-nucleotide ribosomal RNA is filed under the name uncultured bacterium. RNAcentral describes it as "partial 16S ribosomal RNA". It matches the Rfam family "Bacterial small subunit ribosomal RNA", at positions 524 to 776 of the family's 1533-position model. The record is from RNAcentral.
UACGUAGGGGGCAAGCGUUAUCCGGAUUUACUGGGUGUAAAGGGAGCGUAGGCGGCCACGCAAGUCAGAAGUGAAAACCCGGGGCUCAACCCUGGGAGUGCUUUUGAAACUGUGCGGCUAGAGUGUCGGAGGGGUAAGUGGAAUUCCUAGUGUAGCGGUGAAAUGCGUAGAUAUUAGGAGGAACACCAGUGGCGAAGGCGGCUUACUGGACGAUGACUGACGCUGAGGCUCGAAAGCGUGGGGAGCAAACAGG